This 352-nucleotide ribosomal RNA is filed under the name Streptomyces aegyptia. RNAcentral describes it as "bacterial SSU rRNA". It matches the Rfam family "Bacterial small subunit ribosomal RNA", at positions 139 to 504 of the family's 1533-position model. The record is from RNAcentral. Lineage: Bacteria; Bacillati; Actinomycetota; Actinomycetes; Kitasatosporales; Streptomycetaceae.
UGGGACAAGCCCUGGAAACGGGGUCUCUUACCGGAUACUGACCCGCUUGGGCAUCCAAGCGGUUCGAAAGCUCCGGCGGUGCAGGAUGAGCCCGCGGCCUAUCAGCUUGUUGGUGAGGUAAUGGCUCACCAAGGCGACGACGGGUAGCCGGCCUGAUAGGGCGACCGGCCACACUGGGACUGAGACACGGCCCAGACUCCUACGGGAGGCAGCAGUGGGGAAUAUUGCACAAUGGGCGAAAGCCUGAUGCAGCGACGCCGCGUGAGGGAUGACGGCCUUCGGGUUGUAAACCUCUUUCAGCAGGGAAGAAGCGAAAGUGACGGUACCUGCAGAAGAAGCGCCGGUUAACUAC